Long non-coding RNA from Solanum pennellii, 765 nucleotides. RefSeq lists it as uncharacterized. The transcript is spliced from 3 exons. NCBI's taxonomy places the organism in Eukaryota, Viridiplantae, Streptophyta, Magnoliopsida, Solanales, Solanaceae. The record is from RefSeq and is a predicted model, not a curated record.
GUGAAAUCAUUCGUAUUCAAGGUGGACAAUGUGGUAACCAAAUUGGUGCCAAGUUUUGGGAAUGUUUUGGUGCCAAAUGCGACAUUGAUUUUACCGGUCGUUACAAUGGUGAUUCUGAUCUCCACUUGAGAGAAUUAAUGUGUAUUACAAUGAGGUUACCAGUGGAAGAUUUGUUCCUACGGAUGUUCUUAUGGAUUUAGAGCACCAUGGACAAUAUUAGAUUAGAGUAGACUGCUGUAUAUUACAUUAAAGGUGCUGAAUAGAUUGAUGUCGUUCUCGAUCUUGUUCGUAAGGAAGUCAAAAACUCCGACUUCCUUCAAGGAUUUCAAUUGUGCCAUUCAUAGGUUCUUUUAUGGGAACACCUCUGAUCUUAAAGAUCAGAGAAGAAUACCUGGACAGAAUAAUGCUUACCUUCUCCGUUUUCACUUCAGCUAAGGUUUCUGACAUUGUUGUUGAGCCUUAUAAUGCUACCUUGGCUGUGCAUAAUCAAUUGGUUAAAAAUGCCGAUAAGUGCAUGCUUCUUGGUAAUGAGGUUCUAUAUUACAUCUUCUUCAGAACCCUAAAGCUCAUCACCCCAAGCUAAUGCCAGAGAGCAAGGAUCAGGAUUCUCUCUAGACGAGCCAUCAGUAUUGAACUUAAAUUUCCCUUGGGGAGGAAGAUGUCACUAUACUAAUGUGCACCUCGUGGGUUUGUAGAAUUCCAACUUUUGCAUCAUAAGUGGCCAGAUGUUAGAGAUCUUUGGUUCCCAUGGGGAACCUCAUUCUA